RNAcentral lists this transfer RNA (74 nucleotides) under Rhodoluna sp. Its description in RNAcentral is "tRNA-Pro". It matches the Rfam family "tRNA". Rfam says of the family: Transfer RNA (tRNA) molecules are approximately 80 nucleotides in length. RNAcentral also lists the same sequence under 2 other names. The record is from RNAcentral. Lineage: Bacteria; Bacillati; Actinomycetota; Actinomycetes; Micrococcales; Microbacteriaceae.
CGGGCUAUAGCGCAGCUUGGUAGCGCACUUGUCUGGGGGACAAGGGGUCGUGGGUUCAAAUCCCGCUAGCCCGA